UGGGGAAUAUUGCACAAUGGGCGCAAGCCUGAUGCAGCGACGCCGCGUGAGGGAUGGAGGCCUUCGGGUUGUAAACCUCUUUCGCCAGUGAAGCAGGCCAUCUUCUUUGUGGGGUGGUUGACGGUAGCUGGAUAAGAAGCGCCGGCUAACUACGUGCCAGCAGCCGCGGUAAUACGUAGGGCGCGAGCGUUGUCCGGAAUUAUUGGGCGUAAAGAGCUCGUAGGCGGCUGGUCGCGUCUGUCGUGAAAUCCCCUGGCUUAACUGGGGGCUUGCGGUGGGUACGGGCCGGCUUGAGUGCGGUAGGGGAGACUGGAAUUCCUGGUGUAGCGGUGGAAUGCGCAGAUAUCAGGAGGAACACCGGUGGCGAAGGCGGGUCUCUGGGCCGUUACUGACGCUGAGGAGCGAAAGCGUGGGAGCGAACAGG
This 424-nucleotide ribosomal RNA is filed under the name bacterium. RNAcentral describes it as "partial 16S ribosomal RNA". It matches the Rfam family "Bacterial small subunit ribosomal RNA", at positions 355 to 776 of the family's 1533-position model. The record is from RNAcentral.